UACUGUUAAUGAUGCUAAUAUAAUUACAGUGGGAAUCUCUCUGAAAAAAUGUGGAAGGCUUGUAAUUACUGAAUCAGUA
This is a small nucleolar RNA of Chiloscyllium plagiosum (whitespotted bambooshark), 79 nucleotides long. RefSeq annotates it as small nucleolar RNA SNORD79. NCBI's taxonomy places the organism in Eukaryota, Metazoa, Chordata, Chondrichthyes, Orectolobiformes, Hemiscylliidae. The record is from RefSeq and is a predicted model, not a curated record.